AUCAUAUUCAAAAACUAUUCACAAAACAUAUGCUAUCUGGAAUUCACUUUAAAAUAAUCUAGACAGCAGUCGUUAUACAUAUGCCUUUCUAAAAGAGGGAGGAGAUCAAAGAACAGGAAUGACAGAAAGUUGAUCAUUAUGAGGUGGGAUGAAAACUACGAGGGAAAUCACUGUACUGUUUUCUCCACUUUUAGGUGUACUCAAGUGUUUGUAUGGCUCAAAGGGUUUUUACCAUUAUUAAUUGUGAGUCUUUCGUACCCACUGCAGAGAUUACUAAGCUUUAUUGGAGUGAUUACUCACUAUAUCCCAGCACUGUUUGUGGCCCUUCAUACUCAUGGGCUGCUCUUGGCGAGCCAGCUGGGUAGGAGGUGGUACCAGUCCUGAUUUGAUGUCAGAGGAAACUGGGAUCCAAAGAAAGAAGCAACUUGGUCAAAGACUGAAGGUAGACAUAGAAAAAAGGUUUCCUACACAGGACAAGAAACCAGCAAUUUUUCUUGGGGCAACUGCCAAAGACAAAGAUCUAAAAUUUUCAGAAGCAUCCACUGUUUCCACUGGCCUUUGUGGCCACCUCAAAGGCAGCUACGAGGCAGAAAUACAGGGCCAAUGUUAGCUCCACUCAUGUACCUCAGCCCUUCUACCUCAGUUGGGCCAGCAAACAGCAGUCUGCGCAUCAAUCAGGGUACCUCUGCCCCAGGAUGAGCGGGAAGCAGUCACAACGCCUAAGGUGAUGAGAACAGCUAAUGACUCAGACGGCUAAACCCUCCCGGGUUCCAGAGUCAUUGCACAGACCCAGGAAACCUGAAGUCACCCAGAGAAUUAAGUCUUCUGUCACCUCACCCGUGUGUUUUCACAAAAAAAGCAACAAACUAAAUUUCUCUUACUUAUUCCUUCUUCGUUU
RNAcentral lists this long non-coding RNA (898 nucleotides) under Fukomys damarensis (Damara mole-rat). RNAcentral's name for it is "lncRNA (ENSFDAG00000022587.1)". Lineage: Eukaryota; Metazoa; Chordata; Mammalia; Rodentia; Bathyergidae. The record is from RNAcentral.